This 1876-nucleotide small RNA is filed under the name Galendromus occidentalis (western predatory mite). Its description in RNAcentral is "uncharacterized LOC100907195". The record is from RNAcentral. Lineage: Eukaryota; Metazoa; Arthropoda; Arachnida; Mesostigmata; Phytoseiidae.
AUGGAGCAACGCAGGCUCUACAUAGGCGGUUUAUCAGAUGCUGUGUUAGAGAAAGAUAUAAAAAGAAGUUUAGUGAAUUCGGUACAGUGAAUGACGUUGAGAUACGAUGCAAAGAGAACUACGGAAAUCGACGAUACUUCGCGUAUAUCAACAUCCAGGCGGACAGGGGCAGCAUCGAUAAUUGUGUGCGCGCAUGCAACAAUCUCGAGUGGAAGGGUGGCACGCUCAAGGUACAGCCCGCGAAAGAGAGUUAUUUGCAAGCGGUCCGGAACGACAUACAGGAGAAGAAAAGACCUGUGGCUGUCGAGCCUCAAUCCACUGGGAAUGUUUCGACAAAAGCUCAAGGGACGAAGAGGAAGGAGCCGCUCAGUGAUGAUGGGAGUGAUGACGAGCCGCAGAGCUAUCUUGGAGUACCAGCGUGGAAGGGAUUCAAGUCGCGACCCGCAUCUUCCCCGUCGACUUCAAAACCCGACAUUGUCGAAGCGAAACAGAGCUCAAGUAGGAAGCUGGAAACCUCCGGGACCGGUGUCCGCCGUCGAUUGUAUAUUGGAGGUCUCCCAGAGAGCGCAUUGGAUGGAGACAUCAAGACGAAAUUCGCAGAGUUUGGUCGCGUUGGGAGCGUUGAAAUCAAAUGCAAGGAGAAUUACGGUAACAAGAGGUUUUUCGCUUACGUGGAUCUCGAUACCACCGAGAAAAAACUCGAUCAAUGCAUUCGUGAGUGCGAUAAUCAAACAUGGCAGGGCGCGCGCUUGAAAGUGCAGAUCGCCAAGGAGAGCUUUUUACAGAAAGCUCAUAAAGAGAUAUCUGAGCGCAACUCGCUCGGGAACUCCGCUACGGUCAACGAGUCACGUGAGGAUCGGGUUGGAGGCGUGGGAACGAGACAACUCGAUAAAGGCGAACCAAUGGAUCUGGUCGACGAGCGCCAUUCCGAUCAGUCUCGACACAACAGGAGAGACAACUUCAGCGACAGAAAAACGUGGCGCGAUUCGAGAUAUGACGAUAACUAUCAGAGAACGAAUAAGCCUACCUUCGGGAAGUGGGAUCAUACGCAACCUAUGGGCGAUCCUCGCGAUACCAUGCGGGAACGUCACGACCGCCCCCAGAAGUGGGCUUCCGCGAGUCAUUCGAAGAGUGGGAGCUUCCCGGGACCGGAUGGGCGCGACAACACCUUUGAAUCCGAGAAAAACUGCCUUUUCGAUGAGAUUGACGCUGCCGAUAAACUCGGUCUUGAACAAGAUGAACUACUCUCGGGCGAUGAGCAGAAGGAAUCUAGAGAAGAGGACGUCAAUGAUCCUUUAUCCGAGAAGAAUCUCGAGGAUUUAUUCGAUCCAAAGUCCGGCAGCAAGGGAUUCACCCUUUCUUCUCUGUUCUCGGAUCAGCUCAAAGUCGAGGACAAUGUUUCGUCUUCGGGAGACCCCGAUAAUACGUACGGAAAACGAUCUCAGGAGCAAGUUGAACGAUUCGAGGAGGAAUAUUGGAAACGAGCGGAGAAAGUCGACCAGAGAAGCUGGCAAGAGAUGGUUCACAAACACGACAGACGCGUUCCCACCUCGGGACUCCCGAAAUCAUUCUUCAUCCUGCCGGGCGACAGGAGACUUGAAGAAGGUUCCCGAGUGUUCCGCACCGAUGAAGAUCCGGCUCAGUUCGUUGAGUGCUGGAGGGAGCAGGCCGAAGAGUUGACGCAGCGCCUGCUUCAACGCAAACGCAACACCAGAGUCCAAUAUCAAAUGGCACAAAGAGCGCUUGGCAAGUCCGAGCAGAAAGCCGGACAGAAGAGAAAAUUCCGGAAGCAGGCCCGACAAGAAGCUGUUUGAUUGCGUAUGGAAACCAAUCUCUACGGGAAGGCGUGUAUGAGAGAAUAAAUUGUUUUCUAAUU